This 449-nucleotide ribosomal RNA is filed under the name uncultured bacterium. Its description in RNAcentral is "bacterial SSU rRNA". It matches the Rfam family "Bacterial small subunit ribosomal RNA", at positions 329 to 792 of the family's 1533-position model. The record is from RNAcentral.
UGCCAGACUCCUACGGGAGGCAGCAGUGGGGAAUAUUGGACAAUGGGGGGAACCCUGAUCCAGCGACGCCGCGUGAGUGAAGAAGUAUUUCGGUAUGUAAAGCUCUAUCAGCAGGGAAGAAAGAAAUGACGGUACCUGACUAAGAAGCCCCGGCUAACUACGUGCCAGCAGCCGCGGUAAUACGUAGGGGGCAAGCGUUAUCCGGAUUUACUGGGUGUAAAGGGAGCGUAGACGGCGAUGCAAGUCUGAAGUGAAAGGCGGGGGCCCAACCCCCGGACUGCUCUGGAAACUGUACGGCUGGAGUGCAGGAGAGGUAAGUGGAAUUCCUAGUGUAGCGGUGAAAUGCGUAGAUAUUAGGAGGAACACCAGUGGCGAAGGCGGCUUACUGGACUGUAACUGACGUUGAGGCUCGAAAGCGUGGGGAGCAAACAGGAUUAGAUACCCGAGUA